RNAcentral lists this ribosomal RNA (460 nucleotides) under uncultured bacterium. RNAcentral's name for it is "partial 16S ribosomal RNA". It matches the Rfam family "Bacterial small subunit ribosomal RNA", at positions 338 to 795 of the family's 1533-position model. The record is from RNAcentral.
CCUACGGGCGGCAGCAGUGAGGAAUAUUGGUCAAUGGACGAGAGUCUGAACCAGCCAAGUAGCGUGAAGGAUGACUGCUCUAUGGGUUGUAAACUUCUUUUAUAUGGGAAUAAAAUGUCCUACGUGUGGGGUUUUGUAUGUACCAUAUGAAUAAGGAUCGGCUAACUCCGUGCCAGCAGUCGCGGUAAUACGGAGGAUUCGAGCGUUAUCCGGAUUUAUUGGGUUUAAAGGGUGCGUAGGCGGGCUGUUAAGUCAGUGGUGAAAGUUCGCGGCUUAACCGUAAGACUGCAGUUGAUACUGGCAGUCUAGAGUGCGGAUGAAGUAGGCGGAAUGCGUGGUGUAGCGGUGAAAUGCUUAGAUAUCACGCAGAACUCCGAUUGCGAAGGCAGUUCACUAGACUGCAACUGACGCUGAUGCACGAAAGUGUGGGUAUCGAACAGGAUUAGAUACCCUAGUAGUC